RNAcentral lists this ribosomal RNA (1348 nucleotides) under Candidatus Micrarchaeota archaeon CG06_land_8_20_14_3_00_50_6. Its description in RNAcentral is "bacterial LSU rRNA". It matches the Rfam family "Archaeal large subunit ribosomal RNA", at positions 1190 to 2234 of the family's 2987-position model. Lineage: Archaea; Nanobdellati; Microcaldota. The record is from RNAcentral.
GCUCAGAAGCAGCCAUCCUUUAAACAACGCGUAAUAGCGGACCGGCCGAGAAAAAUGGCUUUGAAGAUAAACUGGGCUCAAACCGAGAGCCGAUACCCAAGAGGAUUAUCGAAAGAUAAUUUUGGUAGGAGGGUGAACUUGCGGGGCAGAAGCAUGGCCGUGAGGUCAUGUGGACCUGCAAGUUAUAAAUAUCCUGGUGUUAGUAACAGCAUAUCCAGGUGAGAAUCUUGGACGUCGAAUGCACACGGGUUUCUCGGCAAUGUUUGUCAGCUGAGAGUUAGGCGAUCCUAAGGUUGACGGUAAUUCCAGUCAACCAAAAGGGAAAGCGGUUAAUACUCCGCUCCCAUAUGGGUAGGCGUGGUAACACAAGCCACACUUAUGACGCCUUUGGGUAGACCGGCUUGUUAACUACUAUAGGCCUGCAGAGACUCAUGAUGAGGAGAAGCAGGCUAAAUGUAUAUCGGUUGAUCCCAGGGGCCCAUGAAAAGUAAGCGUGGAACGAUCCCAUGUGACCGUACCUAGAACCAGUACAGGUGUUGCUGGCUGAAAAAGCCAAGACGUGUCAGGAGAACUUAGGUUAGGGAACUCGGCAAGAUAGCCCCGUACCUUCGGUAUAAGGGGUGCCUGAAGUCGCGAGACUACAGGUCGCAGUAACAAGGGGAGGCCGACUGUUUAUCAAAAACACAGAUCAUAGCAAGGUCGUAAGGCCAUGUACUAUGGUCGACGCCUGCUCACUACCGGUACGUGAAACCCCACUUCAAUGGGACUAAGCGCCGGCAAAGAGCGGGGGUAACUCUGACCCUCAACAAAGGGUGUGUUUGGAUGAACAGAAGCUAAAAGUGGCGCCAAAGUAUUACGCAAAUGGCCUAUAGGGGGUCGUUAAAUUCGGCUGUAUGCUGGAAACCCAGAGCCAACAGGUCCAUAAGCCAGCGCGGCGAAUGGAAAAAUCCUGGAGGCAAUGAGGGCAAUCAGCAGGAAACUUCAGCAAAUGCAGGAGGAUCCUCAGAGACUAUACGCCGAACAUCCGCAGUUGCGGAUGAUGAUAUAGUCCGACACUCCAAGUAAUUGGAGAUUUUUUAACAAAUAGCUUAAGGUAGCGUAAUACCUCGCCGCUUAAUUGGCGGCUUAGGAAAGAAUUCUUGCAAAUGCAAAUAUUGAUAGAAUGAGCUCUUUCCGCCGAUGCAUGAAUGGCGUAACGAGCCUCCUACUGUCCCAACCUAGGACCUGGUGAACUCACUACACUGUGAAUAUGCAGUGUACUUCCAGUGGGAAACGAAGACCCCGUGGAGCUUUACUAUAGUCUGCACUUGUGGUAUUUUGAAUGAUGCGCAGCGUAAUUGGGAGCCGU